UCGGUAUGCUGUUCUAUCGCUCUUUAGUAAUAUAAGGGGAGGAAAGUCCGGACAAUAUAGCGCGCUGCCCUGUGGAAAGCACAGAUAGGCGUAAGUUUAUGGAGCGCGUAACAGAAAAUAACCGCCUUGUUGUUAUGGCAAGGUAAGGGUGAAAAGGCGAGGUAAGAGCUUGCCGGAAUCGGUGGCGACAUUGAUUUUUGUACGCACCGGCAGGUUGCAAAGCCAUGUAAACCGAUGUUUGAGGAUUGCGCGUCCAAGUCGGAGGGUAGGCUGCACCAGAUAAAUGAUAGGACACGACAGAAUCCGGCUUACAGGCAUACCGUUUUA
Molecule: RNase P RNA, 327 nt
Filed under: Prevotellaceae bacterium
Lineage: Bacteria; Pseudomonadati; Bacteroidota; Bacteroidia; Bacteroidales; Prevotellaceae
Description: RNase P RNA component class A
Rfam family: Bacterial RNase P class A
About the family: Ribonuclease P (RNase P) is a ubiquitous endoribonuclease, found in archaea, bacteria and eukarya as well as chloroplasts and mitochondria. Its best characterised activity is the generation of mature 5'-ends of tRNAs by cleaving the 5'-leader elements of precursor-tRNAs.
Source: RNAcentral